Molecule: ribosomal RNA, 469 nt
Filed under: uncultured bacterium
Lineage: Bacteria
Description: partial 16S ribosomal RNA
Rfam family: Bacterial small subunit ribosomal RNA
Source: RNAcentral
GACGAACGCUGGCGGCGUGCUUAACACAUGCAAGUCGAACGGAAAGGCCCUGCUUGCGGGGUGCUCGAGUGGCGAACGGGUGAGUAACACGUGGGUGAUCUGCCCCUUACUUUGGGAUAAGCCUGGGAAACUGGGUCUAAUACUGGAUAGGACCAUGCUGUAGGUGGAGUGGUGGAAAGAUUAGUUUCGGUAAGGGAUGAGCUCGCGGCCUAUCAGCUUGUUGGUGGGGUAAUGGCCUACCAAGGCGUCGACGGGUAGCCGGCCUGAGAGGGUGGACGGCACCAUUGGGACUGCGAUACGGCCCAGACUCCUACGGGAGGCAGCAGUGGGGGAUAUCGUACAAUGGGCGCAAGCCUGAUGCAGCGACGCCGCGUGGAGGAUGACGCUCUUCGGGUUGUAAACUCCUUUCAGCCAUGACGAAGCCCUUGUGGUGACGGUAGUGGUAGAAGAAGCACCGGCUAACUACGUG